UUUUAACUAAGCGGUAGAGUCAGGCCUUUAAAUUAAAGGCCCCCAGAAAGAGGCUUAAGUCAUCGGUUCAAAUCCGAUAGAUAAAG
Molecule: transfer RNA, 86 nt
Filed under: Reynoutria japonica (Japanese knotweed)
Lineage: Eukaryota; Viridiplantae; Streptophyta; Magnoliopsida; Caryophyllales; Polygonaceae
Description: tRNA-Leu
Rfam family: tRNA
About the family: Transfer RNA (tRNA) molecules are approximately 80 nucleotides in length. Their secondary structure includes four short double-helical elements and three loops (D, anti-codon, and T loops).
Source: RNAcentral